UUGAAAGAACCAGGUGAAUACUGUUGCUGGCCUUUAACAAGGUAUGUGCACGUAUUUGCCGCUUUCAUUCCAUCCACCUGUGCAUUUUUUGUAGGAGUUCUUUUAGAUUGGCUUUAUAGGUUUCACAACCUUGCAGUUGGUUUAAAAGGCUUCUAUGUCUUUAUAAGCAAGUUAAGCAUGUUCUUGAAUGUUCUUUUAUUGGGACUUGAUUGACCCAUUAAAACUUUAUA
This 230-nucleotide unclassified non-coding RNA is filed under the name uncultured Agaricales. RNAcentral describes it as "sequence contains ITS1". The record is from RNAcentral. Lineage: Eukaryota; Fungi; Basidiomycota; Agaricomycetes; Agaricales.